This 292-nucleotide ribosomal RNA is filed under the name uncultured bacterium. RNAcentral describes it as "partial 16S ribosomal RNA". It matches the Rfam family "Bacterial small subunit ribosomal RNA", at positions 505 to 796 of the family's 1533-position model. The record is from RNAcentral.
GUGCCAGCAGCCGCGGUAAGACGGAGGGUGCAAGCGUUGUUCGGAUUGACUGGGCGUAAAGGGCGUGUAGGCGGUUGGUCAAGUCGGGUGUGAAAGCCUGGGGCUCAGCCUCAGAAGUGCAUCCGAAACUAGCCAGCUAGAGCGCGAUAGAGGAGGGUGGAAUUCCUGGUGUAGCGGUGAAAUGCGUAGAUAUCAGGAGGAACACCGGCGGCGAAGGCGGCCCUCUGGCUCGUUGCUGACGCUGAGACGCGAAAGCGUGGGGAGCAAACAGGAUUAGAAACCCCUGUAGUCC